Molecule: non-coding RNA, 115 nt
Organism: Triticum urartu
Lineage: Eukaryota; Viridiplantae; Streptophyta; Magnoliopsida; Poales; Poaceae
Source: Rfam
GUUGUACUUUCUUCGUUCGGAAUUACUUGUCGCAAAAAAGGAUGUAUCUAGACGUAUUUUAAUUUUAGAUAUAUUCAUUUUCAAGACAAGUAAUUUCGAACGGAGAAAGUACAUA